This is a small nucleolar RNA of Meriones unguiculatus (Mongolian gerbil), 140 nucleotides long. RefSeq annotates it as small nucleolar RNA SNORA48. The transcript has a single exon. The record is from RefSeq and is a predicted model, not a curated record. Lineage: Eukaryota; Metazoa; Chordata; Mammalia; Rodentia; Muridae.
UCCACCCUGGCAAUGGGCAAAAAAGCACCUUGUAAGUGAUGAUGUUCUUACAUCAGUCGGGAACAGAUGGCAGUCCUUUGAUUAUCCUAGCUUGAUGCAUGACUUGGUGGCCAAAGCUCUUUUAUGCCUAGGACAUAUAA